This 1633-nucleotide long non-coding RNA is filed under the name Salvia miltiorrhiza (redroot sage). RNAcentral's name for it is "long non-coding RNA (SMIL_LNC005506)". The record is from RNAcentral. Lineage: Eukaryota; Viridiplantae; Streptophyta; Magnoliopsida; Lamiales; Lamiaceae.
AUGUAUCCAUGUAUAUAUUUUCGUAAAGAUAUAAAUUCUUAAAUAAAUAUUUGAAAUGAAUUUAAAUAUAAAUUAAACAAGUCAUGACAUUAAAAUAAUAUAACAACAUUUAUUUAAAUAAAUCACACACAAAUCUCAAAUAGUAUAGAAUUUCAGAGUUUACAUAACCAAAAGAUAUCACAUGAAAUAACAUAAUAUGUUUUAAGAAACAUUUAUCUUUAAAUAGAUUCGACGCGCCCAUUCGACUCUCCACGCGCCUCCAAUAUCAAUCACCUGAAACUGUUGAAUAUGGGAUGAGCAUACAGGGUACACUCAGUGUGGGAACAUGCAAUAAUUGUCCAUGUUAAUAAAAUGGUAACACAUAUUGUCAUAACGUAACAUAAAUUCCAUACGCACUGUGGCAAUCCAAGGACUUUAAUGUCCCGGACCCUAUAUGUGGGCCCCUGGCGACAAUAUAAUGGUUGCAACCCUGUAACAUGAAAUCGCAUUGUGGCAUACCAAGGACGGUGAAGUCCUGGACCAAUUAUGCUGGCCCCUAGCGAUAAAUAUUUUUACAACACAUACGGUAAACACAUAAUAUUAAAAUGGACAAAUAUUAACCACGUGCAUGUACUGAAAUAAAUCCCACACCUGAAACUUGAGCUUUGAAAGUUAACUGCGAUAAUUUAAAGUUCACGUCCUAAUCGCGCCGCACCUAGUCAGAUAAAUUCAGAUAAUAACAUAUAAGGGCCUAUUUGAACUUUAAAAUAAUUUAGAUUAUUGGAUCAUAUAAAAAUAUUUGAUCUAAUAAAUUUAAGUAAUAAAAUAUAUUUUCUUAUAAAAAGAUUUGGGGUCAAUAAUUAAUUAAAACUAAGUUUAAAUUAAUAAUACAAGUCCAAAUAUAAUAUGAAUGAUGUUCUUUAUAAAAUGAUAUGCAAAUGCAAGUUCAUUUGAUAAUUAAAAAAAAGAGCCCAAUCAUAUAAUAAAGCUAAGCCCUAAUUUAAAGCCCUCUCCAAGCCCAUCAUUCAACACCAAUUUAACACCCACUUUGACUUCUACACCCUUCAGUCACCACGCACACACACAACUCACGCACACACCUCUCUUCUCUCCCAACCAUUCUCUCCUCUAUCACUCCCUUUCUCUCCCUCGGCCUCCUGCCGCCAUCGCCGGCACACCGUCGCCGGAGGCCGGCGACUCCUCCUCCUUCCUCUCUCCUGGUCGACCGCAACGCCACCACCGCCGUCCCUGUGUCGACAGAGGCGCGCCCAGCCGCCUCCCCUUCACACGCAACGGCGUCGUUGCUCCGGCGAGAAAUCCCUCACCUCAUUUCAUUUUAAUUCCCCCCAUUUUCUCUAUCUAUUUCCUUUUUCCAUGUAAUUAUAAGAUUUAUUCUAUUUGAUUUCCUUAUGGAAAUUACAGUAAAAGGAUGUGUGCAUAUUUUGAUUUGAAAACAAAAUUCUGUUGUAAAGUUUUGAUUUUUGGCAGAAAUGAGAAACCAUGAAUGAAAAAGAAACUUUGCAAAAAUAAUUAAAAUUUACCAGCUGGGAUUCGUAGGGAGAAUCUGCAGAUUUUAGUUAAAUGAACAGAUGAAGAGGUGAGUUGGGGAUGAGGAAUUGAGGUUUAAAUAGAUUGAUUUCGUCAAAGAUUUGAA